RNAcentral lists this ribosomal RNA (401 nucleotides) under Parempheriella sp. JSMC5. RNAcentral describes it as "partial 12S ribosomal RNA". The record is from RNAcentral. Lineage: Eukaryota; Metazoa; Arthropoda; Insecta; Diptera; Mycetophilidae.
UCUGGGAUUAGAUACCCUGUUAUUUUAAAAAUAAUUAAAUUAAAUAGAGUAGUAUUAGUUAUAUUCUUAAAACUUAAAAAAUUUGGCGGUAUUUUAAUCUAUUCAGAGGAACUUGUUUUAUAAUUGAUAAUCCUCAUUUAAUCUUACUUAAUUUAAUUAAAUUUGUAUACCGUUGUCAUAAGAAUUUCUUUAAAAAGUAUUAAUUUUCUAAAAUUUUUAUUAAUAAUAAUGUCAAAUCAAGGUGCAGUUUAUAGUUAAGUAAAAAUGAGUUACAAUAAAUUUAUUUAUAUGAAUUAAAAAUUGAAAAAUUUUUAUAAAGGUGGAUUUGAUAGUAAAUUAAAAUUAAUAAUUUUAAUUGAUUAUAGUUCUAAAAUAUGUACAAAUCGCCCGUCACUCUCUGA